RNAcentral lists this ribosomal RNA (495 nucleotides) under uncultured bacterium. Its description in RNAcentral is "partial 16S ribosomal RNA". It matches the Rfam family "Bacterial small subunit ribosomal RNA", at positions 28 to 505 of the family's 1533-position model. The record is from RNAcentral.
GAUGAACGCUGGCGGCGUGCCUAAUACAUGCAAGUCGAGCGAACGGACGAGAAGCUUGCUUCUCUGAUGUUAGCGGCGGACGGGUGAGUAACACGUGGAUAACCUACCUAUAAGACUGGGAUAACUUCGGGAAACCGGAGCUAAUACCGGAUGAUAUUUUGAACCGCAUGGUUCAAAAGUGAAAGACGGUCUUGCUGUCACUUAUAGAUGGAUCCGCGCUGCAUUAGCUAGUUGGUAAGGUAACGGCUUACCAAGGCAACGAUGCAUAGCCGACCUGAGAGGGUGAUCGGACACACUGAAACUGAGACACGGUACAGACUCCUACGGGAGGCAGCAGUAGGGAAUCUUCCGAAAUGGGCGAAAGCCUGACGGAGCAACGCCGCGUGAGUGAUGAAGGUCUUCGGAUCGUAAAACUCUGUUAUUAGGGAAGAACAUAUGUGUAAGUAACUGUGCACAUCUUGACGGUACCUAAUCAGAAAGCCACGGCUAACUACG